This 423-nucleotide ribosomal RNA is filed under the name uncultured bacterium. RNAcentral's name for it is "partial 16S ribosomal RNA". It matches the Rfam family "Bacterial small subunit ribosomal RNA", at positions 355 to 787 of the family's 1533-position model. The record is from RNAcentral.
UGGGGAAUAUUGCGCAAUGGGCGGAAGCCUGACGCAGCAACGCCGCGUGCGGGAUGACGGCCUUCGGGGUUGNAAAACCGCUUUCAGCAGGGACGAAGCGUGAGUGACGGUACCUGCAGAAGAAGCACCGGCCAAACUACGUGCCAGCAGCCGCGGUGGUACGUAGGGUGCGAGCGUUGUCCGGAAUUAUUGGGCGUAAAGAGCUCGUAGGUGGUUGAUCGCGUCGAAAGUGAAAUCUCAGGGCUUAACCCUGAGCGUGCUUUCGAUACGGGUCGACUAGAGGAAGGUAGGGGAGAAUGGAAUUCCUGGUGGAGCGGUGGAAUGCGCAGAUAUCAGGAGGAACACCAGUGGCGAAGGCGGUUCUCUGGACCUUUCCUGACGCUGAGGAGCGAAAGCGUGGGGAGCAAACAGGCUUAGAUACCC